Molecule: ribosomal RNA, 465 nt
Filed under: uncultured Klebsiella sp.
Lineage: Bacteria; Pseudomonadati; Pseudomonadota; Gammaproteobacteria; Enterobacterales; Enterobacteriaceae
Description: bacterial SSU rRNA
Rfam family: Bacterial small subunit ribosomal RNA
Source: RNAcentral
ACUACGGGUGGCUGCAGUGGGGAAUAUUGCACAAUGGGCGCAAGCCUGAUGCAGCCAUGCCGCGUGUGUGAAGAAGGCCUUCGGGUUGUAAAGCACUUUCAGCGGGGAGGAAGGCGUUAAGGUUAAUAACCUUGGCGAUUGACGUUACCCGCAGAAGAAGCACCGGCUAACUCCGUGCCAGCAGCCGCGGUAAUACGGAGGGUGCAAGCGUUAAUCGGAAUUACUGGGCGUAAAGCGCACGCAGGCGGUCUGUCAAGUCGGAUGUGAAAUCCCCGGGCUCAACCUGGGAACUGCAUUCGAAACUGGCAGGCUAGAGUCUUGUAGAGGGGGGUAGAAUUCCAGGUGUAGCGGUGAAAAGCGUAGAGAGCUGGAGGAAUACCGGUGGCGAAGGCGGCCCCCUGGACAAAGACUGACGCGCAGGUGCGAAAGCGUGGGGAGCAAACAGGAUUAGAUACCCUAGUAGUC